This is a long non-coding RNA of Astatotilapia calliptera (eastern happy), 3598 nucleotides long. The record is from Ensembl. NCBI's taxonomy places the organism in Eukaryota, Metazoa, Chordata, Actinopteri, Cichliformes, Cichlidae.
AACUGAUAAGAGCUUUUGUAGAUUUUAGUAAUGAUGUCCCUGAAUACCAAGUGAGCUGCAUCUAAAGAGACCCACAGGAAUUAAUAAAAAUGUCUCCAAUUUCAUGGCCGCAGUGGUUUCCUGCUUUUGAGAGAUCACAAAAGAAAAUCACUGAAUGCCACAAUUUAAUUAUGUAUUUCAGGGUGUCUCUGGAUGUAUUGCUCCUUUUUGGAAAUUCUGCAUCCCCAUUCUGGUCCCUCUCUUUGUCUUUCCCCAUCAUUCCACGUCACGCUUUCAUUUUUCUUUUACUUUCUCUCAGCACUCAUUUCCAUUUCUUUUCCUCUUUUUUUUUUCUUAUUUCAAAUUUCUCAUUCAGAUCUCAUCCCCUGUCCUUUCUGUCUUGCCCGGCCCCCUCCUUUUUUUGUACCCUUGUGUUCUCUUUUAUAUUGCUGCCUCUCUCCACCAGUGCUCUGAUUCAUUCCUCCUCUGCUUCACUCUUUUACAUGGGCAGGUGGCAGAGCAGCUGGCCUACUAUGGCCAUGUGUCAGAGACAGUAAUCACAGAGGAGAUGUUUGACGCCGCUGUGCAAUUUGGCACAGUGCAGGGUGACCCCACCCAGAGCUGAGCAAGACGACCUGUUUGGAUAGCCCCCCGGUUGCCCCAAGCACCGACUGGGAAAGGAGCAUCAAGGACGGCUCACCUCACACCUCAACGGCCUCGCAGGUGGGCUCCUCAGGGGAAGAGGGGGAGACGGUUGGCUGUCAAAUGACACGAGGCGGCAGAUCUACAAAAGAUGAGUAAUGAGAUCAUUCGCCUGUGCUUCCAAAGCAUCUCCCUGGACAAGAUCUUUAAGGGCUAUGUGAUCCCCAGCAAGCAAAACCUCAGCAAUUUCAUCCAGCGAUUCCACUCCUGGAAGGAAAGUUACCUGCACGCCUCACAGGUUUACCGCAAGUAAAACUACUGGCUGAAGACACAACUCUGGCCAGGAAUCCAAGGCCCAAAGCCACCGCGGUCAGGGUUGUUAGCCUGGUUACAAACAGGGGAAAGGUGGUCACUUGGAAGAACAAGCAGCCAAAACGUAUCAAUCCUGCAUCUUCCUCAAAAAGGUUUGCUACCAACCUUUUCAGGCCUGACUUCGUUCGAGGCUGGGUCUCCACAUCACAUCCUGGGAGCUGGAACUUCCCCAAAACUGGUCCAGUUUCCUUGUCAGGGGCACAGAGAGUCUCCAGUCCAGUGUUUGUUUUCCUGCCUUCCAGCACAUCCACUCACAUCCCAAUAAGAAUGAGUCCUCCCUCCAACAUCCUCAGUUUACUUUAAAAGCAAAACCAGGCCAGGUUAAAAAUCUUCUCCAUUAAAAUGUGCACACUUCAUCCUGGAUCUUCGAGGCUUCCCUGCUUCAUCAGUGUCCUACUAAAAAAAUAACGACAACCCCUACUUCCUGUUUCCUCUCCCCUUUAUAGAGAAGGGCUCCAAUCCUCCCCAAUCAGCUGCUCCCUGUAUUCAACUCCAAAUAGCUGGCAGCUGGACUAGAGUAGAAUCUCCACUCCCACAUGGGUGUGGCCCACACCUCACAUCAAACACAAAAAAAACACCAAAGCAUGCAAUUAAUACAAAACAAAAUCUAAAGAAAUGCCAACCCAAAAGCUUAGUGGGGGAUUCUCUCCAUCCUUUUCCACCAUGCUAUACUCUGUAACAGUACCGUUAAGAAAUUAUGCUUGCCCUGCUGGCCACUAACUUCCUCUCCACACUGAAAAGAUUGAUAAUGCAGCACUAACUAUGUGUACAUAGUAAUCUCACUUUGAUUAUUUGAACAUUGUCGUUAUUCAUAACGUUAAACUUCUAAACUUUAUGUCAAGCUGACUGUUCAGAACACACCUGUAUGUUAACAAGUUCUGGAAAAGCUAGAUGGUUAUGUUAAGCAUUUUUUUCAGAGAGUGUGUUGCUGUGAAUUUUGGGAUAACAUUACUUCCCUCCAGAUUAGAUGGUUCGGUGUAUCUUUUGGAAAAGGAGGUAAGAAAGGAGGUGUUGAAGCACCUUUUCACAGUGUUUAAAUCUUUUUAUGGCCACCACUCAGAUACUUCCUUCACCCAUUUAAGCCACAGUCACACAGGCCUGUCAGUAGCUAUCGCCUGGCAACCACCGUUGCUUGGUAAAAAUGUUUAUUCCCUGACCGGUAAGCAAAUGGUUGCUGGAAGGUGCCCGCUGUCGCUAGGUGAAAUUUGUUACAAAGUGGUAAAUGGUGCUACACUUUUUACAAGUCAACUCGUCUCUUUCCAUGUAAGCCAUGGUUGACUGUGGCAAUGAAAGUAAUCAGUGCUGCACCCUCUGUGUGGCCGAUUUCCCCAACUGACAGCCAGCAACCUCCAGCAACCUCCAGCAACAAUUUGCCUACCAUUUAGGGAAUACAAUUGGGCUGGAGACGUCCCAUGUGACUGAAGACUUAGCAAAAUUCUUUAAAAGCAAGAUGUGGACACAAAUCGUUACUCGGAACCAAGAUUGUUCAAGAAUUUCAUUAAACAGUUGAAAAUGAAAUGUUUUUAACUACCUGACAUGGAAAAGCCACACCAAAAUAGGGUGUACAUAGGGUACCACCAUGUUCAGCUAUAGGCUGAGCUAAACACAUUUUGUUAAUUUGCCCUCGCUAAUCCUACUCAUCUGUUUUUAUUUAGAUGAAUUUUGAUUCUACUUUGUUUCACCCUGGAUUCACCAAAGUCCGUCUCUCCCUCUUUCAGCCUCCCAUUUCCACUGUGAGCAGCAACUAUAAACUUUUGUGUCUUCAGGAUUACCUUUCCAUCACGGGAUGAAUGAAGUGUGAAAAGCAAUCUGAGAAUCGCCAGGCCACUUCUGCGGAUGCAAUUAUGCCAAUGGCAGAUCAUUUUCUGACCUUUAUCCUCCAGCCAGUGUUGAUGGCAGUUUGCCACUGUGACAGACUGCUUUUUGUUUUCAUGUAUUUUACAGUUGUGUGACAGCUGAAAACCUGGCUCUUAAAGGCUGAGGUGCUCAUCCGUUUGAAAGACAGCCUGACUUUUUGUGCUGCUCUUUUUCUUUCGCUCUCUAUUUACUUAUGUUGUGUAUGUCCCUGUCAGUGUAACAUUCUCAUUAUUUCUUUACUGCCACUUCUGUCUCCUUCCCUCUCUCUCUUCCUCUGUAUUUUUUGUCCCAUUUCUCUCUUUCUGUCUCCGUAUUACGUGUAUUUCUAUCAGGUAUUUUCCAAAGUCUGUGUCCAGGACCAAACCAGUGUUUUUGUUCUGGCUGAUGCCUUCAUUCAAAGGUUCACGGUCCUGCUUCAGGUAAAUUGCUCCUUCUGACAAACAACCACGAGCACAGAUACAGACACACACCUUUGAACGUAGUGUUGUAGUCCAGUUUCUCAAUUCUGCAGGUUUGUGCUUUUCCAUCCAUUUCAUCUUGUUGUCAAGCUGGUUUUGUCACGUGUUGUAUUUUUGCAUUUGCACAUAGUCCUGUUUACCUGUGCUCAUAUGUUUUUGCUAUUUUGCAAACUGGUGAGCUGUCAUCUCUCAUGGAAUACAUAGUCUGUCUCAUUUGUGAAGAUUUCCUGCAUUAUUUUUUUUUAAAUUCCUGUUUCCCUUUUCCUCCUCAAUUAAAAUCAAAAUACAAA